UGGGGAAUUUUGCACAAUGGGGGAAACCCUGAUGCAGCGACGCCGCGUGAUUUAGAAGGCCUUCGGGUUGUAAAAAUCUUUUCUAUGGGAAGAAAAUGACAGUACCAUAGGAAUAAGGACCGGCUAAUUACGUGCCAGCAGCCGCGGUAAUACGUAAGGUCCGAGCGUUGUCCGGAAUCAUUGGGCGUAAAGGGUACGUAGGCGGGUAAGCAAGUUAGAAGUGAAAUCCUAUAGCUCAACUAUAGUAAGCUUUUAAAACUGCUCAUCUUGAGGUAUGGAAGGGAAAGUGGAAUUCCUAGUGUAGCGGUGAAAUGCGCAGAUAUUAGGAGGAAUACCGGUGGCGAAGGAGACUUUCUGGCCAUAACCUGACGCUGAGGUACGAAAGCGUGGGUAGCAAACAGG
RNAcentral lists this ribosomal RNA (402 nucleotides) under bacterium. RNAcentral describes it as "partial 16S ribosomal RNA". It matches the Rfam family "Bacterial small subunit ribosomal RNA", at positions 355 to 776 of the family's 1533-position model. The record is from RNAcentral.